UCUUUUAUGUCCUCACCUGUGGCAUAUAGAAGUUCUUGGGCCAGGGGUGGAAUCAGAGCUGCACCUGGGCAAGACCAGAUCUGAGCUGCAUCUUCCACCGACCCCACAACUUGAGGUAACUGGGAAUCCUUAACCCACUGAGCAAGGCCAGGGAUUGAACCUGAAUCCUCACAGAGACAACGUUGGGUCCUUAACCCACUGAGCCACAAUGGCAACCCCGCAAAUGUGUUUUAUAUUUAUGGAAUUUAAUAGUUAUCUUCUGUGUUCAUUGCAAUGUGAAUGUUGCUUGUUCUUGUUUUUGUUAGUUCCUCAUUCAAUAACCACAUCUUCUUGUGUUUUCAAGGCCUCCAUCUACUUGAGCCACUCUUUUUUCAAAUCUGAACUCUUAAGUCAGCGUUAACAUCUUUUGGGAACUUCACCAACUUUCUUCUUUUCUUCUUCUUUUUAUUUAUUUAUUUAUUUAUUUAUUUAGACUGCUCCUGUGGCGUGUGUAAGUUUCCUGGGCCAGGGGUGAAACCUGCCCUAUAGCAGCGACCCAGACCACUGCAGUGACAAUGCCAGAUCCACUGUGCCAUAGGGACUCCCUAACUCCCCAACUUUAUUUAUUUAUUUAUUUAUUGCUUUUUAGGGCUGAAACUGUGGCAUGCGGAAGUUCCCCUCAGCAAAGCAUCUGCAAUCUGCUCAUGGCAAUGCCAGAUCCUUAACCCACCGAGUGAGGCCAGGAAUCAAAUCUGUGUCUUUAUGGAUAUUAGUCCGGUUUGUUACUGCUGAGCCACAAUGGGAAUUCCAUCCCCAACUUUCUGUCUUUUCUCCACAUGGACCUGGAGUUUGACUCUAGAUCAGAAUUACAGGUUCAGGAUCUGUAGUUUUCUAGAUCAGAAUUACAGGUUCAGGAUCUGUAGUUUUCAUUAGCUUUUCACAAGUCUAUAACCCCAACUAUAAUAUAGCUGAGAUUUGUUUAGUGCUUACUGACAGCCCCAGUGCUCUCCAUGUAUUAACCUGUUUAAUUUUUCCAGUUAUCCUAUUAAGUGGAUAAUUUAUAAUUUUUGUUAUCUUUAUUUUGCAGAAAAGGAAACUGUUAAGAAAUGCUGCCUUAGACCCCAUAGGCUUGAUAUAGUGUGACUGUGAUGUUUCAUUUAUUGCUCCAUACAUCCAGCCGGCCAAUCAUGUAUCCUCUUUUCCUUGGUGUUUGACCUUUUUCUCUCUUGAGCUAAGUGUGUGGCUGAAUAGUAUGGCUUUUUCAGAGAAAGAAUCUCUGAACCAGAGUAUGGGAGUUGCUGUCCUUCUCCAUUUAAACUCCAGCCGUGUUCUCGGUAUCAUUUAAAGGAGAAAACUUAGAGGCAAAGACAAAAGGUCCACAGGUGGUAAUGACAAAGGUCCCUCUGAAACAGGGCAGAAGUCUCAUGGAUUGGAUUCAACCUCCCCAAAGUGGAAAGGAUCUAUGAGGACUAAACAGCAGGUUCAUUGAAGUAACUGAAGAAGAACUUAAAAAAUACACCAAAAAAGAUGACUGUUGGAUAUAUCUAACAGCUCAUCUUGCAAUUUGUGGUCCACUGGCGAGCUCGAAUGUCUCAGCUGGAUUCCAGAACUCUUACCAAGGUUGAAUUUUUUAGUCGACAGUUAUGGCGACCACGAAGGGACCAGAGCAGACGCCUCUCCUUCGCCUGAACUCUACGAGGACAUGGAGCCUUGGUACCAGCAGAGACCCCCUUGUGCCUGUUCAUCUCCUCGGGGAGUCCAGACGAAUUUGGGUUGAAUUUUUUAGUCGACAGUUAUGGCGACCACGAAGGGACCAGAGCAGACGCCUCUCCUUCGCCUGAACUCUACGAGGACAUGGAGCCUUGGUACCAGCAGAGACCCCUUGUGCCUGUUCAUCUCCUCGGGGAGUCCAGACGAAUUUGGGUGAGUCUCUCCUGGAUCUCGGAUCUCCCAUAUUGGUUGAUGAUCCUGAGUUUUAUUUGGAGGUGUGUAACAGGUACCUGCCCCCUCAGGUGGAAGAGACGGGGGCGGGGGGCUGGUUGAAAGAUACCAGGGGAAAUACCCCCUCAGCAGAGAUGCUGGGGGGAAGCCAGCCAGGGGAUGCCCCCUCAGUGGGGAAUACUGAGGGGAAGGAAUACCCCCUCAGCAGAAACACUGCGGGGGAGCUGACCUGGGGGACUCCCUUGGCAGGGGAUACUGAGGGAGGGGAAAUGCCUCCUCAGCAGGGAGAUGGGGGAAGCUGGUUGAAAGAUACCAGGGGAUACCUCCUUAUCAGAGAUGCUGGGGAGAAGCUUGGUUGAGAGAUACCAGGGGCUAUACCCCACCAGUAGAGACAGUGGGGGGCUCAGUUGAAAGAUCUUGUGUUUGGCUUGGUUGAAAGAGGCUGAAGGGUCUGGGCUGGGGGUUUAGGUAAGAGGCUGCUCUGAUACAUUUCCUCAAUUUGGCGCCUUAAUAGAAUCUGUCGGGAUAAAAGUUAAGGUAUUACAUGAGAGUGUCACUUAGAAGAAAAGGGGCAAGACUCCCCCUGCCGCUGGUUAUGGUUUUCUCAGGUGGCUGAGGAAUUUAACGGGGGUGGUGGAGGCUGAGUCCUCAUGCCAUGCAGUGGUCCCACAGGGAAACCCACUCAAUUAAAACCUGCUCAACCGGGGACGUGAGUAAGAACUGGCCAUUUGGCAAUCUGAGCACCUGUAGUGUCCUAGAUGCCACUGGGAGACCCGAGACACAUAAAAGAGAGAGCCGAAGCAACUCUGGGCUAACACCUAGAGAAAUUAAGCUCUCAAGUGGCACACUGGCCCAGCACACCAUGUCAUUAGUAAACUUUAUCCCUGACAAAUUCAACUUUAAAAUGAGGAGCACCAGAAAGCCAGCCUCCAACUAACGCCUCAGCCAGAUUUGCGUAUGUACAAAACUUAUACUUGCAAGUAUCUACUGAAUUGAGUACUAAUGAAAAACAAUCUCAUUAAUACUCUAAAAUAACCAAAGUGGAAUCCUUUAUUGCAUAGGUAGUUAUUAGAGAUGCUAGUUUGGAAAACACAUUUCAGAAUUAGUGACUUCAGAGGAGUAUUUCUUCCUCGCCUUGACUGACAUCCUGACUGCUUGGGGUGCUUGAGGACCAGCCUGCCUG
Non-coding RNA from Sus scrofa (pig), 3103 nucleotides. Lineage: Eukaryota; Metazoa; Chordata; Mammalia; Artiodactyla; Suidae. The record is from RefSeq and is a predicted model, not a curated record.